UACGUAGGGUGCAAGCGUUAAUCGGAAUUACUGGGCGUAAAGCGUGCGCAGGCGGUUUUGUGAGACAGGCGUGAAAUCCCCCGGCUCAACAUGGGAAUUGCGCUUGUGACUGCAAAGCUGGAGUGCGGCAGAGGGGGAUGGAAUUCCACUUGUAGCAGUGAAAUGCGUAGAUAUGCGGAGGAACACCGAUGGCGAAGGCAAUCCCCUGGGCCUGCACUGACUCUCAUGCACGAAAGCGUGGGGAGCAAACAGG
RNAcentral lists this ribosomal RNA (253 nucleotides) under uncultured bacterium. RNAcentral's name for it is "partial 16S ribosomal RNA". It matches the Rfam family "Bacterial small subunit ribosomal RNA", at positions 524 to 776 of the family's 1533-position model. The record is from RNAcentral.